CCCAACGGUCCCUCCCCCAGCGACGUCGGAGGUGGGAGCCGGGGGAGAGGGCCCCAGCCUCGCACACAGCAGCAGUUAACACUUAUUGUAACCGUUUUCCACGGGAAAGCAUUGGCAUCCGGGCCACGACCCUCCCAGUGCCCUCUGGCAAGCAAGAUAUCUGCAAGGUUCUGCCCAUAUUUGAGCACUUUGCUUUUUGCUGUGGAAGCGUGAGCGGCUGAGGCAGAGGAUUGAGUCCCAGUUUCACUCCUUGCUACUGUAUGGAUUGUCUGAACUCCUCUUCCCUCAUGAAUAAAAAAUAAAUAAAUAAACAUUUAAAUAUAACCAAGAA
Molecule: long non-coding RNA, 331 nt
Organism: Eptesicus fuscus (big brown bat)
Lineage: Eukaryota; Metazoa; Chordata; Mammalia; Chiroptera; Vespertilionidae
Exons: 2
Source: RefSeq, a predicted model, not a curated record